GCGCCCAUAGCUCAAUUGGUAGAGCAGCAACCUCUUAAGUUGACGGUUCCAGGUUCAAGUCCUGGUGGGCGUA
RNAcentral lists this transfer RNA (73 nucleotides) under Patescibacteria group bacterium. RNAcentral's name for it is "tRNA-Lys". It matches the Rfam family "tRNA". From Rfam's summary of the family: Transfer RNA (tRNA) molecules are approximately 80 nucleotides in length. Their secondary structure includes four short double-helical elements and three loops (D, anti-codon, and T loops). The record is from RNAcentral.